Molecule: non-coding RNA, 1452 nt
Organism: Lolium perenne
Lineage: Eukaryota; Viridiplantae; Streptophyta; Magnoliopsida; Poales; Poaceae
Source: RefSeq, a predicted model, not a curated record
ACGGAGCCUAUUUUAUGGUAAAGUAUGCCCAACCUAUGGUUUCCAUGUACAUAUGUCCUAAACAAAGCAAAACAAGUAAAAAAGUCCAUUGGUAAACCCUCGCACGGAGAAAGCUAUAGGGGUAGAUCUGCGGGGUCCCCGCCCUAGGGUUUUCCAAGAUACAGACCACCGGAGCGUCGGAAUCGCUGGAAAACUUGUGUGUGUCCACAUGGAAUGCACAAAAGUGAUUUGAGAUGGUUCUAUAUCCAAGGCUACCCCCCAGGUGUGUCCGGCUUCUCGGACAGGGGGUUCCUACACUUGGGCAGAUUCUGCAUGUAUAGGGGGGAACUCCCUCGUACGUGAACCGGAGAGAAACUUGAUAUCAUAUGGGAUGAUUUUUGUUUCCACAUGUACCUAUGACCUAACCAAGCUCAAAUGGAGGCAUAUGCCCACCGGGGGACCCCCGAUGGGAUGCAGUCAAAGGGGUAGACCGCGCGGUCAACAGAACUAGGGUUUCGUCGGAAAUCGAGCGUCGGAUCUAGGGAAUGGCCCCAAAACUUGUGUGUGUCCACAUGGAAUGCACAAAAGUGAUUUGAGAUGGUUCUAUAUCCAAGGCUACCCCCCAGGUGUGUCCGGCUUCUCGGACAGGGGGUUCCUACACUUGGGCAGAUUCUGCAUGUAUAGGGGGGAACUCCCUCGUACGUGAACCGGAGAGAAACUUGAUAUCAUAUGGGAUGAUUUUUGUUUCCACAUGUACCUAUGACCUAACCAAGCUCAAAUGGAGGCAUAUGCCCACCGGGGGACCCCCGAUGGGAUGCAGUCAAAGGGGUAGACCGCGCGGUCAACAGAACUAGGGUUUCGUCAGAAAUCGAGCGUCGGAUCUAGGGAAUGGCCCCCAGAACUUGUGUGUGUCCACAUGGCAUGCACAAAAUUGAUUUGAGAUGGUUUUAUAUCCAAGGCUACCCCCCAGGUGUGUCCGGCUUCUCGGACAGGGGGUUCCUACACUUGGGCAGAUUCUGCAUGUAUAGGGGGAACUCCCUCGUACGUGAACCGGAGAGAAACUUGAUAUCAUAUGGGAUGAUUUUUGUUUCCACAUGUACCUAUGACCUAACCAAGCUCAAAUGGAGGCAUAUGCCCACCGGGGGACCCCCGAUGGGAUGCAGUCAAAGGGGUAGACCGCGCGGUCAACAGAACUAGGGUUUCGUCAGAAAUCGAGCGUCGGAUCUAGGGAAUGGCCCCAGAACUUGUGUGUGUCCACAUGGAAUGCACAAAAGUGAUUUGAGAUGGUUCUAUAUCCAAGGCUACCCCCCAGGUGUGUCCGGCUUCUCGGACAGGGGGUUCCUACACUUGGGCAGAUUCUGCAUAUAUAGGGGGAACUCCCUCGUACGUGAACCGGAGAGAAACUUGAUAUCAUAUGGGAUGAUUUUUGUUUCCACAUGUACCUAUGACCUAACCAAGCUCAAAUGGAGGCAU